Molecule: long non-coding RNA, 980 nt
Organism: Alligator mississippiensis (American alligator)
Lineage: Eukaryota; Metazoa; Chordata; Crocodylia; Alligatoridae
Exons: 3
Source: RefSeq, a predicted model, not a curated record
AGCAGGCUGAGGGGGAUCAGGGAGGCAGAGGAUGAAAUUGAUAGUUAUUUCCUUUCCCUGCAGGCCCAGGCACCAAAGGAAGAAGCACCCUGGGGAAUACCCUCCACAGCAGAGUGGCAGAUGGUCACAGCCAGGACCGGAGCGGCACGCAGCGAACCGGUACCAGCUUCUCCAGUCCGACUGGUGAACAGAUCAAGAGAUCCACGAUGACCCAGAGGAGGAGGCGACGAGUGCUCGUCAUAGGAGACUCCAUCCUGAGAGGUACAGAAGGACCCAUCUGUCGCCAGGACCCCUCGGCACGAGAGUGACCGGACGAGGAAGACGGCAGGAGAACUGCAUCAGAGAGACCAACUGGCGGCUUCGGCAGUGGUGUCUCGAGGCAGGCUUCGGCUUCCUGGACAAUGACCCGCACAUCACGACGAGGGACAUGCUCAGCUGGGAUGGGCUUCACCUGUCCCCCAAAGGUAAGUGUGUGUUUUCUUCUAGGUUGGCGGAUCUCCUCCGGCGGGCUUUAAACUAGGCUCGUCGGGGGGAGGGGAGUACGAGGGCAGGGGAAGCUGUGGACCACCAAACCAUGUGGCACCCACAAGGACAGCCCAGCCUGAAGAAGGAGAACAUUGGGAACCUGAAAGCCAUGGGGAGGCCAGCACUACAGAACAGGUAAGGAACAAGAAGGUAAGAAACAAUGGGCCCCAUGGGACUGGGAGCGGGGGGGCAGCAAAGGCACCAGUCGCAGGGCUCAAGUGCCUAUAUACUACUGCUAGGAGCAUGGGGAACAAGCAGGAUGAACUAGCGCUCCUGCUUGCACUAAACACCUAUGACUUAGUGGGGCUAACAGAGACCUGGUGGGAUUCAUCCCACGACUGGGCGGUACAUAUUGAGGGCUAUAGAUUGCAUAGAAAGGACAGGUCGGGGAAGAAAGGGGGGGGGGGUUGCACUUUAUGUCAGUGAGCAAUACACAUCAACCCUCAUCAAGACAG